UUGAAGCUUCUCUUUCCAGGGUUUCAAAGACAGAAUGCAGGUUUUCACCUGGCCUGUCCCACCCACUCCCGCAACCAGGUCAGCAGAGAUGUAAGUCUGAUGGCCUGGGUUCAGGGUAGCUCUCCUGCGCCGGGGUGCGGCAUGUCCUUGCUCGUGGGUGUCACUUGGGUGGGUUUCUUCUGCCAGGGAACAGGUUGAGGAGGAUGAGAGAUUCGGUUUCUAUGGAUACUGGGCCGGCUGGAAUUUGCAUAAUGUAGUUCAGAGAACAAACAGUCUGGGAACACAGCGACUGCGGAAGUACAGAGAGCCCCAGGGAAACGAGCUGGAAGAUUCUAGAGAGCCGGGCUCCAAGGUAGCCCUCUUCUAAAAGGGACGCCAAUCCGCUCCUGCUCCGCACAGGAAGCAGCUCGCGGAGCCCUGAGGAAGCACUGUGAUGUGCGGACAGCGCCCCCUACUGGGCGUGCGCGAACUUGGGGCUCAGCCUGCGCGGUGCAGUUGUGCGGCCUCGCGAAUUCAGCCACCUGCUAAGGCGCCCUUCCUUGCGGUACCUGGCCUGGGAACCGCCUGUUUACCCCCAAAGCGUGACGCCUGUGCUAUUAUACUCCUCAUUGCCAGCUGAGCACCAUGCCAGAAGGGCGCAGGAGGACACUGGGCUGGCCGAUCGUUACAAAGCCAGACCUCAAACCCAAGAUUGCUGGUAUUACCAUCCCGAACCCCAAACCACCUGGGGCGCGCAGCGGUACAGGAAGUGCAGCGAGGCAGUUCCCCGCGGGAGGUUCCGACCCCAGGUCAUUUUGCUUUGGGAAGGAGCCAGAAGCCACACAGCACCAGAUCUGGCGCAUAAGGGCCAGGCACACUCGGCAUAGUGGUCUUGUUGAGGCCAUGGGAGUCUGAGCUGUCACAUGGAGAAUAAGCAGAUAAAAGGAGAUGGACAAAAUCCCGGGGAGCAGUGAGCCAUGUAGGAGCGGGCCAAGGAUUUGGGUUAGGCUCAUACAUGAGGAAUGGACAGAAGCAGAACCCAAGGAAGAUGGUAUCACAAACAAAACAAAACAAAAAAACACAACCAAAACCUCAAACAAAACAGUCACCAUGCUGAAGACAGAAAGGAUAAGAGGCCAGAGAUCCAGGUACAUAGAACAUGGGAAACAGUUCUCUGACUCCAGUUUAAAGUGAGAUGCACAGCUUGCAGCCCUUGGCGUGGCUUCUUCCAAAACUAGGGAAGGCAAGAGAAAAAAUAAAAGCAGCCAUCACCCACAAAAAGCAAUACGUGCAGCCAGUCGUGAUGGCACAUUAUAAUCCCAGAACUCUGGGAUACUGAGGCGUGACGAUCACCAGUUUGAGCCUAGCCUGAGACCCUUCGUGACUUAGUAAGACCCUGUGUCCAAUAAGAAUAAAAAGGGACAGAGGAUGUAGCUUUGUGUAGAAGUCCUGGCUUCAAUCCACAGCACAGUCCAAAAAAGAAAAAAAAAAAAGUGAUGUGUACCCAAACUUUUGGCAAAAACUAAGAGGAAUGCCCUGAUCUAUCAAGUCAGUGGUGCUGGAGCUUUAGAGCCCACACAGGGCCCCAGCAACCCCCUAGAAACAUAGAAAGCUUCUGCGUCCUUCCCUCUCUCGUCCUGUCCAGACCCUGAGGGUCAGAUGCUGUUAAGUUUCUGAUGUUAGACUGGGUUCUCUCUCAUUCUUUCUGCAAGUCACCCUUCUUACCUGUAGUUGACCACAGGCGACUAAACUGGUGGAUAAUGGGGGGCUACUGGAGACCUCUUUAGUAGGCUGCUGCCAGCACCCAGAAGGGAGCACUAGCAUUCUUCCUAAGAAGUAAUCUGCAUUUGAACAGGGAGGGGAAUAAAACAAAAAGGAAAGUGAGAUCAAACAGACCUGCAAGAACCUGAGAAGGUAAAGUAACAGUAAAGUCCGCAGAGGAGACGUCAGCAUUUUCAUUUUUGUGCCAGUAACCUGGUGUUUCUCAUCAGCACCAUUUUUAAUCACUGUAGCUUUGUAAUAUAAUUUGAAGUCUGGAAUUGUGAUGCCCCCUGCUUUGCUCUUUUUGCCCAGGAUUGCUUUUAGGUGUCUUCUGGUUCCCUAUGAAUUUUAGGUUUGUUUUCUCUAGUUCUGUGAAAAAUGCUGCUUGUAUUUCACUGGUAUUGCAUUAAAUCUGUGUAUCAGUUUUGGAAGUACGCCCAUUUGGAUAAUAUUAGCUCUGUCUACCCAGGAAUAGGGGACAUCUUUCUGUCUUCUGCUGUGCCCUUCAACCUCCUUUCUUCAGAGGUCAUUUUAGAAUGAAAAUUCUCACUUCUGUGGUUAGGUUAAUUUCUCAGUAUUUAAUUUUCCUUGAUUCUUUUAUGAAUGGUGUUAUUUUCCUAAUUUCUCAGUGAGUUCAUUAUUGGUAUAUUGAAGAAAUGGGUGUAGGUAAAGACCUUUUGAACAGAAAACCUUUGUCCACAGGAAAUAACCCCAAGAAUCAACAAAUGGGAUCAGAUCAAAUUGAAAAGCUUCUGUACAGCAAAGGAAACAACCAAUUAACAGACAACCUAUAGAAUGGAAACACAUUUUGCAAACUACAUCUUAGAGGACUAAUAUCUAGAAAAUAUAAAGAACUCAAAAAAAUUAGAGCCUCCAAAUAAAAGACCCAAUCAAAAAAUAGACAAAGGAACAGACACUUCUCAGAAGUACAAAUGCCCGCUAAACACAUUAAAAAUAUUCAACAUCUCUGGCCAUUAGAAAAUGGUAAAACAGCACUGAGAUGCCAUCUUUCUCCAACAAGAAUGACCAUCAGCAAGAAGUCAAACAACAACAAAUGCUGGUGAGGCUGUGGGGAAAGGAAAUUCUUCUGCGCUGUUGAUGGAAUGUAAAUUAGCACAGCCACUAUGGAAAUCAGCAUGGAGAUUCCUCAAACACUAAAAUAGAAAUUUGGUUCAGCUUUCAGCCUCUGGAUAUCUUCCUGAAGGAGUUAGAAUCAAGAGUUUUACAGUGACACACACGUGCCCAUGUUUAAACCUAUAGUAGCCUAUAGUAGCUAAAUCUUGGAGGCAGCCUUUAUAGCCACCUAGAAAUGCAUGGGUAAAGAGAAUGUGGCAUUUACAUGUGUUGGCAUAGAGACAGCUAAGCCUGGUCAUGGAUAGGAAAAUGAAUGCACCUGGAGACCUUAACGUUAAAUGAAAUAAACCAGACAGACAAGCUUAAUAUUGUAUGGUUCUUUUUAUAUGAGAAACUUAAAAUAUAAAUAAAGAGCAGAAAAGAAGAUAGAUAAUACGAAAUAAGGAGAUAGAUCUUUGGAAAAGUGAUAGAAGGAGGGUGAGGUCAUGGAGAGGAAGGGGAUAAAAAAGAAUUAAGAUGCAUUAUGUACAUGUACCAACUCCACACAAGGAAUGCAGUCACCACACACUGAAAACAUACUCAUAAAUAAAAUAAGAUGUCAAGAACAGAAUUGCAAUGGGGUGGAGAAAAAUUGAGAAAGAAAUGCAGAAAACAGAUUUGACAUUAUUGUCAAAAGAUGAGAGAGGAACUAAAAAUAAUAAACAAGAGAUGGGAGACAAAAUAAGAAUGUAUCUUACAAAUUACAGGAAAAAAAUCAGAACAAAUGGGAACUCGAAUGAUAGAUACAAUUAGCAACUGAAAGUGCUUAUCAAUUCUAAACCAAUUCACAGCAAAUAUUUUGAGUUACAGAAUACAAAAUAAGCUCUACUAACAUUUAAGAUUAAAAUGCAAAACACAAAGUUGGAUGUUUACAAAGGAAUAAAAAUUAAUUUGGGUUAUUGAAAGAAAAAUUAUGAAAAAACUGGCAUAAAAUCUUGAACAAAGACUGAAUCAUGUAGAAAUUUACACUCAGUCAAGUUGUGUUAAGGUAAAAACAAAUGUCAUUUCAAAAAUGUAAAAACAUACUAUCAAUGAAUUCUGCUUGGAAUAAAUUGAAUGACUCUG
Molecule: long non-coding RNA, 3918 nt
Organism: Cavia porcellus (domestic guinea pig)
Lineage: Eukaryota; Metazoa; Chordata; Mammalia; Rodentia; Caviidae
Exons: 3
Source: RefSeq, a predicted model, not a curated record